Molecule: long non-coding RNA, 3532 nt
Organism: Phocoena sinus (vaquita)
Lineage: Eukaryota; Metazoa; Chordata; Mammalia; Artiodactyla; Phocoenidae
Source: Ensembl
GAUUAGAAAAGAAGACUGAUGAGAAGUUCCAGAUGUUGUGAUAAAGCUACUUUCUUCAACUAAUGAUAUCCUUUACUUUGGAAGAUAAUUUCAAGAAAAAUUUCUCUGGGUGCAAUUAUCAGAAAACGUGAAUUUUUACUAAAGUUCCCACAAAAUACCAUCCUACAUUUAUCUGUAACUAGCUCUGUAAUUCAGAGUGUGAAGAUAAUAUUUCAUGUGCAUUGAAAAUCUCUUCAUGUUUUCUGAGAAGAGAGUCCAUAAUCCAUUUUGAUAAGUUUUGGUAGACAAUGAGGGUAAACAUGGUAUCGAAUGCAAACAUUGGCGGCAGGGGUCAGGACGGUCCCCAGAGCACACCCAGAGGCUUUGCCACUAGCAGGUGGUGGAACAAAUACUUGGGGAAACUCAAGCCUAUAUAGGACAUCGGUCUAGGAACUGAGCUACGCUGAAUUUAGUCCUAACUUUAAAUGACCUGUACUGAUGCAAGGUUCACAAAUACAGUCCAUCCUCAUUAUUUUGAGAUUCUAAAUAUGUAAAUUUGCCUACUUGCUAAAAUUUAUUUGUAAUCCCCAAAUCAAUACUUAAUGGCACUUUGACAGUCACACGCGGACGAGAACAGAGUGGCAAAACUUUGUGUCACGCAAUGCAUACAUUCUCAGCUGAGGUCAAAGAAGGCCAUACUCUGCCUUCUUGUUUCAGCUCUCCGACAGAGGUGACCAGAGGAUGGAGACUGUAGUGGGUGGCGCACUGCAGUGCAGGACGCUCUGGCUCUGGGGCCAGUUGGAUGAGGACUGAAUCCCCACUUUGGCACCUGUUCUGGGGCGGCCUCAAGCAAGCCACUGAACACCUCCAGAGGACCAGACUCUGGUCCAGCUGGCCUGUGUACCACACUCUAGUACCCUGUUUCUCACUUGUACCAACAAUAAUGAACAAAAUAAUGAAUACCUUCUACCAUGUUGUACUGUUUUCUGUCUUUAUAUGAGCAAGAUACAUUAUUUACUUAUUUGUUUUUAUCAAGUUACAAAGUUUUCUACGGUAUUACAUUUUAGACACGUGGACUUAAAAAUAUACAGAAUUCAUAGAGAUGUAAUGACUUUAUCACUCCCCACUUUCCCCAAAGAAGUUUAUUUCUUUGUUGCGAUAAGAAUCUCCAAACCAAGGCUCCCUCCUCUCCUAUCCACAGCAUUGUCUAUUAUGAAACAGAAUUUUUGUUCCCAAGACUCACUCAACAGGACUGAUUAGGUACUGUGCUGAGUGCUGUGGAAGAUUCAGAUAAGGAAGUUGUCUCUCCUUCUUACCAAAACAUGGGAGGAAAUUAAGUGAACAUAGAGAAAAGAAAAAGAAAACUAUAUGAUCAAAUAAAUACAAUUAUAUUGAAGUCUAUGUGUUUAGUCUCUAACUUAAAGCAUUCCAAGAGUCUGCCAAUCAGAAUUUUAGCCAUUUGGAAUUUUCCUUAUUUUCAUCCAUUUUGUCAUUAAAAUUACCAUAAUGCCUCUCGUUUCUGUCAAUGUGAUGGGUUCUGAACAUUGGUAAAGAUGAAGAAAAAAACCACCACUGGUGCCACCAACAGCUAUUAAAAAAUUUGUUCCAAAGUUUCCAUACAAAUGAGUCAAUAAACUCUAGCUUGGUAGGUUAAGUGAAGCAUGUGAAGCUAUAAAUUCAGAAUUUUAUGCACCUCCUAAGAACAUGGUAUAAAUAUAGAUGGACUGCCUUUUCCAGUACAGUGAGAACUCCUUGAUCAAUGUCUGCAGUUAUGCUCUGUAUUAAGGCCACUAGAGUCCGUUUGAUGAAUCACUGCUCCUAAGGGCUAAAUGUAUGGCGAAAUGAUUGGUUCCCCUUUCUGUUCACCUCCUUCCCCCUCAUUGGCGUGUAGCUCUCGUCUCCUUUUCCCAUUCUGUGCAGAAAAUAUGGAACAACCUCUGUACUAAGUUUUCUGUCAGACGCCUUAUUGGCCUGAUUGUGGGUGAAAGAGCGAUUGGUGCCUAGGACUCAAAGCUUACACAUAGGAUUCACAUCCUCAGUGGAAUCACAUUCGCAAGACCCCAAGGUCAUGUGCAGGGAAGCAUGGAGUCCCUUGUGUUAACUGCAGACAGGAUGUCUAUUCUGGGUUUGCUCUGCUAAACACAGACAAAAACCUCACUGGCUUUAAACAGGAGUCAGCACAGGACUGCAGGCCUGGGGACAGCGUCUGUUCAUUCUGAUGUCCUUGGUAUUCAGCUCUUGGUUGCCACACCGACCGGCCCACACCUAUCCCCAGGUUCACCUAUUGGUCAGGUACCAAAACAUUCCAAGCAUUCUUGAGACUUCCUCUUUUGAAAAUAAUUUUAAAAUGGAACCUUCGAGGCCUAUGAAAGCUGAGCCUACUAAAGUGAACCAGUAUUACACACACAUGCAUUCAUUAAAAACAAGCUGGCCCCUUAAAUUAAAUAGGGUAGUUCCUGCUACUGCUUCUGAAUUGUCCCAUAUCAGAAACAGCCUAAAAUGUCUAAUUAUGUCAUUUAACUAAACUCUCAGGAAUUUAAUCCUUUUCAAAUAGAGCCUAUUGUCUUGAAAUUGCACAUUUAGUUAAGGGACCUGAGUCCUUUUACCAGAGUACUUCAUGAAUAUUGAGAAAUGUCAGAUUCAAUAAUUUAUCACCUGGAUACCGCGUGCGUCGAAGUUGAGGACACGGUAACAGUGGUAAUGACACGGUGAAUUAUGUUACCAUGGCAGGACAGCCUCCAGCAGCUACUCGGGUUUCAGCUCUGUAGACUUCACAUCUUUAUCAGGACCUGGGUCAGAGGGGCGUGGUGUUGGCACACGUGUUAAAAUUGUUUGCCCUCAUGGAAUUUUAUAAUUUGUUCCUUGGAUUCAGACAUCCAUGACGAUCUUUUAGGUACCAUAAGAAAUCCCUGAAUAUGACAGAUCUUUAAAUAUUUAGGUGUUUUAUAAUUAAUUUUAGUCAUCCUCACACUGUACAUUUGAAAAGAGUGUUUUCCAACUCUGAUAGGACACAAAAGAAGUUUUGUACUUGUGAGAGUAGGUAAGUAUGUGGAAGAGCUACUUCAUCGUUAGUAAUUGAUGCCUAGUAAAUGAGAUGUUUCAGGUUUGUUAGAAACAAAAAAAUCACCCCUGGUAUGGUCUAAUUUUACAUGUUAUCGUGGUCCAAUAAUCUAUGUUCCCAUGAAUUCUACCUAAAAAAGGAUAAGUGAAGUAAAUUUGUAAGAAUGUCAGACCAUUUGGUCAGAUAGGAUGUAUUUUCUCAAUAUUGAAUCAGAGGCUGAGAAUGAAUGAUUAGAUAUGAUCAGUUGGCAGCCUGGAGUUUGUUUUCUCCUUUCUUCUUUGGUGUCCUUCUGGAAAUAAGGAUUUCUCUCUCUCUCUCUCUCUCUCUCUCUCUCUCUCUGUGUGUGUGUGUGUGUGUGUGUGUGUGUGUGUGUGUGUUCUUUGCAUCUGUAAAGUUUUGGCAAUUUAGUACGCUUGCUAUCUAUUGGGACAAGUUUGUAUGACAAAUAUGAAUAACCCAAUGAAGCUUCUUGCAACUUAUGAAAUGUAUCAG